AGUCAGCUGAGGCCAAGGACCCAAGGUGACCGCGCUCCCUCGGACGCUCGCUCCGGAGGCGAUGGCGAUGACCGUGCAAGCUGGCUUGGUGGCCUUGCCUGCAUGUUCUCCACCACCCUUCUCUUCCAUAUGCUGUGCAUUUAUCAAGCUGGUUGGGAGCUCCUUGGAGCUGGCGCCUCGGGAGAUGGUGGUGGAGAGCGUGUCGUUUCAACUGAUGAGUAGAUCAUGGCCCAAAUUGAUGCGACAGAACAUGCCUUGGGUGACCGGCUUCUAGCUCUUCACUUGGUAGAGGCCAUGCCGAAGCCCGUGCACCUCCUUCCGAUUCUCAAGGGCCAGAUCCGUUUCAUGAAGUCGUUAGUGAACUUGGAUAAGGACAAGUAUUACCAUAUGCCCUUUUGAAGGUGGGGAAGAGGUGGUUCGCUGAUUUAAGGUGGAGCAUGACUUGUGGCCUAAUGAGACCCCGACUCCUUGACGCGCGCAACCUAGAGGCCACCGAGGUGUCUUGCCGCUCUCUGAGUCAUGAUGGCUUACGGAGCACUUGGACAACGUGAAGAAAAGUGCGAGUCGCUUUGAGGAGAAAUACUAGGCCAAGGAGCAGCUUGGCAUUUACUCAAAAGGAAAUGAUGGCUCGCCACAAGCUUUCCUUAAAGGAUCAUUUUCUUUAAAUUUCUAGAACAUUUAUUCAAAAUUUAAUAAUUUUUUA
Triticum aestivum (bread wheat) is the source of this 703-nucleotide long non-coding RNA. RefSeq lists it as uncharacterized. The transcript is spliced from 5 exons. Lineage: Eukaryota; Viridiplantae; Streptophyta; Magnoliopsida; Poales; Poaceae. The record is from RefSeq and is a predicted model, not a curated record.